UACGAAGGGGGCUAGCGUUGCUCGGAAUCACUGGGCGUAAAGCGCACGUAGGCGGAUCUUUAAGUCAGGGGUGAAAUCCUGGAGCUCAACUCCAGAACUGCCUUUGAUACUGGGGAUCUCGAGUCCGGAAGAGGUGAGUGGAACUCCGAGUGUAGAGGUGAAAUUCGUAGAUAUUCGGAAGAACACCAGUGGCAAAGGCGGCUCACUGGUCCGGUACUGACGCUGAGGUGCGAAAGCGUGGGGAGCAAACAGG
Molecule: ribosomal RNA, 253 nt
Filed under: uncultured bacterium
Lineage: Bacteria
Description: partial 16S ribosomal RNA
Rfam family: Bacterial small subunit ribosomal RNA
Source: RNAcentral